GAUGAAGAACGUAGCGAAAUGCGAUAAGUAAUGUGAAUUGCAGAAUUCAGUGAAUCAUCGAAUCUUUGAACGCACAUUGCGCCCGCCAGCAUUCUGGCGGGCAUGCCUGUUCGAGCGUCAUUUCAACCCUCAAGCUCUGCUUGGUGUUGGGGCCCUACGGUUGACGUAGGCCCUUAAAGGUAGUGGCGGACCCUCUCGGAGCCUCCUUUGCGUAGUAACUAACGUCUCGCAUUGGGAUUCGGAGGGACUCUUGCCGUAAAACCCCCAAAUUUUCUAAUGGUUGACCUCGGAUCAGGUAGGAAUACCCGCUGAACUUAAGCAUAUCAAUUAGCGGAGGA
Molecule: unclassified non-coding RNA, 338 nt
Filed under: soil metagenome
Description: partial contains 5.8S ribosomal RNA, internal transcribed spacer 2, and large subunit ribosomal RNA
Rfam family: 5.8S ribosomal RNA (bases 1-120)
Source: RNAcentral